RNAcentral lists this ribosomal RNA (1633 nucleotides) under Caryophyllaeus brachycollis. RNAcentral describes it as "partial 28S ribosomal RNA". It matches the Rfam family "Eukaryotic large subunit ribosomal RNA", at positions 16 to 982 of the family's 3401-position model. Lineage: Eukaryota; Metazoa; Platyhelminthes; Cestoda; Caryophyllidea; Caryophyllaeidae. The record is from RNAcentral.
UAGGUCGACCCGCUGAAUUUAAGCAUAUCACUAAGCGGAGGAAAAGAAACUAACCAGGAUUCCCCUAGUAACGGCGAGUGAAGAGGGAAAAGCCCAGCACCGAAGCCUGUGGCAAUUUUGCUGCUAGGCAAUGUGGUGUUUAGGUCGGCUCGUGGGAUCGCCACUCCACUCGAAGUCCAGCAUUGAGUAUGGUUCCCAGGAAUUGGCCCAUAGAGGGUGAAAGGCCCGUACGAGUGGAUGUGUCAGAUAUGUAAGGCGAUUCAUCAGGCCGGCCUUAGAGUCGGGUUGUUUGCGAAUGCAGCCCAAAGUGGGUGGUAAACUCCAUCCAAGGCUAAAUACUAGCACGAGUCCGAUAGCGAACAAGUACCGUGAGGGAAAGUUGAAAAGUACUUUGAAGAGAGAGUAAACAGUACGUGAAACCGCAUAGAGGUAAACGGGUGGCGUCAAGCUGCAAGCCCAGAGAAUUCAGUCGGUCAGGGUGUUGUCAUGCGCCCAGCGCAUCUAUCAGUCGGUGUAGGAUUUGGCUAGUCCGCUGGAAAAUGGCGGGCCCAGCUAGCAAUAGCUGGGAUUUGCGUACCGGGCGGUAGCCGGAGCAUGCUAGCCGUCUGUUGGACUGCCUGGCCGAUGCACUUUCUCUGUUGGUGAACACCACGACCGGUGGUACUGCCAGUCUGCUGUAGCCAGCUUCGUUGCAUACUCUGGCCUCAUUGGUUGGGGUGUGUGGCGAUCACAGACAAUUUCAGUGCACGGUGCUCGUGUGUUUUUCGCAUAUGGGCAUGUUAUCGGGAACUGGUUGUAAACGGGUCGGCCUGUCGACUUGUCUGUAGUCGUGGUUGAUGGGUGACCCGGUGGGCUAUGGUGGUAUGAAUAACUGUGCAGGGCACCGGAGUUUUCGGUCCGACCAGCAGUAAUCGUUCGCGGUUGCUGUUGCUGGCUGCACACGCGCUACAGUUYAGCGUGUGCAUUGUUUGCCUUCGGGUGGACAGUAGUACGGGUGGCGCUGUUUACGGCCUGCCAGUCGUCGGGUCUGAUUGUCGUGUCGCCUGCCAAAAUGGUGGGUCCGGCAGUGGCCUGGUGUUGGAUGGUGCCUGUGGACGGAGCUGUCAUUGUGCAGCCGGUGUUUGUGUGCGCGACCUUAUAGUCUGUGGUGUAGUGGUAGACGAGCUACCCGACCCGUCUUGAAACACGGACCAAGGAGUUUAACAUGCGCGCGAGUCAUUGGGUCGUACGAAACCCAGAGGCGCAGUGAAAGUGAAGCCUCGACAUUUUGUUCUCGGGGUGUGGUGAGAUCCUGCUGUUUCUCGCAUACAUUUGUCCAGCACUGGGCUAACUAAAACGAGCAGUGGGCGCAUCACCGGCCCGUCCCAUGAUGUGGCUAUCUGUCAGUGGCAGCUGUCGCCUCACGGUGGUGGUUGCUGUUCUGCGGGUACGUCAUCGGGGCGGAGCAUGAGCGCGCAUGUUGAGACCCGAAAGAUGGUGAACUAUGCUUGCGUAGGUUGAAGCCAGAGGAAACUCUGGUGGAGGACCGCAGCGAUUCUGACGUGCAAAUCGAUCGUCAAACGUGAGUAUAGGGGCGAAAGACUAAUCGAACCAUCUAGUAGCUGGUUCCCUCCGAAGUUUCCCUCAGGAUAGC